Molecule: ribosomal RNA, 1039 nt
Filed under: Limosilactobacillus fermentum
Lineage: Bacteria; Bacillati; Bacillota; Bacilli; Lactobacillales; Lactobacillaceae
Description: bacterial SSU rRNA
Rfam family: Bacterial small subunit ribosomal RNA
Source: RNAcentral
UUUUGGUCGCCAACGAGUGGCGGACGGGUGAGUAACACGUAGGUAACCUGCCCAGAAGCGGGGGACAACAUUUGGAAACAGAUGCUAAUACCGCAUAACARCGUUGUUCGCAUGAACAACGCUUAAAAGAUGGCUUCUCGCUAUCACUUCUGGAUGGACCUGCGGUGCAUUAGCUUGUUGGUGGGGUAAYGGCCUACCAAGGCGAUGAUGCAUAGCCGAGUUGAGAGACUGAUCGGCCACAAUGGGACUGAGACACGGCCCAUACUCCUACGGGAGGCAGCAGUAGGGAAUCUUCCACAAUGGGCGCAAGCCUGAUGGAGCAACACCGCGUGAGUGAAGAAGGGUUUCGGCUCGUAAAGCUCUGUUGUUAAAGAAGAACACGUAUGAGAGUAACUGUUCAUACGUUGACGGUAUUUAACCAGAAAGUCACGGCUAACUACGUGCCAGCAGCCGCGGUAAUACGUAGGUGGCAAGCGUUAUCCGGAUUUAUUGGGCGUAAAGAGAGUGCAGGCGGUUUUCUAAGUCUGAUGUGAAAGCCUUCGGCUUAACCGGAGAAGUGCAUCGGAAACUGGAUAACUUGAGUGCAGAAGAGGGUAGUGGAACUCCAUGUGUAGCGGUGGAAUGCGUAGAUAUAUGGAAGAACACCAGUGGCGAAGGCGGCUACCUGGUCUGCAACUGACGCUGAGACUCGAAAGCAUGGGUAGCGAACAGGAUUAGAUACCCUGGUAGUCCAUGCCGUAAACGAUGAGUGCUAGGUGUUGGAGGGUUUCCGCCCUUCAGUGCCGGAGCUAACGCAUUAAGCACUCCGCCUGGGGAGUACGACCGCAAGGUUGAAACUCAAAGGAAUUGACGGGGGCCCGCACAAGCGGUGGAGCAUGUGGUUUAAUUCGAAGCUACGCGAAGAACCUUACCAGGUCUUGACAUCUUGCGCCAACCCUAGAGAUAGGGCGUUUCCUUCGGGAACGCAAUGACAGGUGGUGCAUGGUCGUCGUCAGCUCGUGUCGUGAGAUGUUGGGUUAAGUCCCGCAACGAGCGCAAC